Molecule: long non-coding RNA, 483 nt
Filed under: Ananas comosus (pineapple)
Lineage: Eukaryota; Viridiplantae; Streptophyta; Magnoliopsida; Poales; Bromeliaceae
Description: long non-coding RNA (ACOM_LNC027831)
Source: RNAcentral
AAUCUCAAUCCAUAUCCGCGGUAUCUAUGAAUUUUUGGUAAAUUUACGAAUAUGAUUACGAGUUUUUCUUACCCAAAAAAUUAUAAAUAAAAUGGAUCGGUAAAAGUUAUAUUAUGAGCAUUUUGGAUAAUCUGCGGGUACCCACGGAUAACCAUAUAUAUAAUUUUUUUAAAAAAAUUAAAAAUUGAAUACUCAUUUUAUUAUACUCAUUUCUAGAACCCUAAUUCUAAUUUCUCCUAAUGUCAUUUUUUUUCUUUAUUAUGUUGCGAUGUUUUAAAUGAUAAAAUAAAUUUGAUUUUUUUAAAAUAAUAAUAUACAUAUAUAUAUUAUUUGUGUUUGAAAAAUAAAAAGAAUAAAAAAAGAUUGCAUUGUGGGUAAUCCGUACACUCUGCCCACCCGCAGGUUGGUACGUAUAAAGAUGAUGGCUAUCCAAAACUUUAUACGAAAAUUCUACCCGCAUCAGCAUAAUUUGAGGAUACAAUA